Molecule: long non-coding RNA, 524 nt
Organism: Pocillopora damicornis (cauliflower coral)
Lineage: Eukaryota; Metazoa; Cnidaria; Anthozoa; Scleractinia; Pocilloporidae
Source: RefSeq, a predicted model, not a curated record
UAUUCGAAAGAGGUGAGCCAAACUGCCUGUGCAAAUACUUAGAAGCAGAAUGCCAAAAACCUGCUUUCCCAACCUAGUUCAGGUGGCAAUGGUUACAAUGCUUCUGAGCAUGGUCUUCGUUGAAGAAAUCAUUUCAGGAUUUACCGGAAGUACCCCAAGUUGUUAUUAUCAUCCUCCAUAUAACUGCCCGUCAUCGAAAGAUGGCCAAAAGCGUCAACUUAGAAAGAUUGAGGACAUGUGCUUGACAAAGAAGAGAAGCCUCUGCCAAUCUGUUCAACUUUACUGCAACUUUGAACAAGAACUUGGUAACAAUUGAAUAAAAAUAUUGGAGAACCAACGCAGAAAUAAAAAGGCUAAGGAGUUGAACAAUGUUAAAUGAUAAAUUUAUGUUAGUACGCAAAAGGUCUUAAUUUAGGCCAUUUUAAUAUCAAUUUAAGCUACUAUUUUUUUUCCAAGCUCCAUGGGUACACUUAUUAAAUUAAUUUACAUGCCUGUAAACUAAAGAAUAAAUUGCGCCAAGUGGU